RNAcentral lists this long non-coding RNA (414 nucleotides) under Homo sapiens (human). RNAcentral's name for it is "HSALNT0009449". The record is from RNAcentral. Lineage: Eukaryota; Metazoa; Chordata; Mammalia; Primates; Hominidae.
CAAGAACUCUAUAAACAUCCUAAAAAUAAACAGAGAAAUAAAAACCCAAGUAAACAAAUAAACUGACUAUAAUAGGUAAGAUGGCUGCUUUGCAGAUUCACAAUUAAAAUCCUUUAAAUUGUUCUCCCUUUGUUUCUGACUCUUUGUUUUUGAAUGGCCUGAUAAGAACAAUUUACUUUCUUUUAUCCCAAACUUCUGAACAUAAGGGUUUUUUUUCCUUGCUCUUCUUAAACAAUUUCCUGAAGUGUACAGGACCAUAAUUUGGUGUUCAUAAUUUUCUAAGCAUAUUAAUUAUUCCCUUGGGAACAAAAUAUUAGUAGUACUAAAACAUUCUGGAAAGAAAGAAGUUAUUCAUUAUCCACUACAAUGUAUAAAAUUUAUAAGGAAACUAAAAAAUGUGAAUGUGGAAAAAUG